Molecule: small RNA, 103 nt
Filed under: Arabidopsis thaliana (thale cress)
Lineage: Eukaryota; Viridiplantae; Streptophyta; Magnoliopsida; Brassicales; Brassicaceae
Description: ATSL101300
Source: RNAcentral
UAAAGAAAUUAGCACACAAAAAAGUAUUCAACGAUUAAAAAAUUAUCAAAUCUCUGUGUUAUAUAAGUUUUGAUACUAUAUUCGAAUAAAGUGUAAUUUACCU